RNAcentral lists this ribosomal RNA (234 nucleotides) under uncultured bacterium. Its description in RNAcentral is "partial 16S ribosomal RNA". It matches the Rfam family "Bacterial small subunit ribosomal RNA", at positions 521 to 754 of the family's 1533-position model. The record is from RNAcentral.
UAAUACGAAGGGGGCUAGCGUUGCUCGGAAUGACUGGGCGUAAAGGGCGCGUAGGCGGUUCGUACAGUCAGACGUGAAAUUCCCGGGCUCAACCUGGGGACUGCGUUUGAUACGUGCGGGCUUGAGUUCGGAAGAGGGUCGUGGAAUUCCCAGUGUAGAGGUGAAAUUCGUAGAUAUUGGGAAGAACACCGGUGGCGAAGGCGGCGACCUGGUCCGAUACUGACGCUGAGGCGC